This 3272-nucleotide long non-coding RNA is filed under the name Nicotiana tabacum (common tobacco). Its description in RNAcentral is "long non-coding RNA (NTAB_LNC015706)". The record is from RNAcentral. Lineage: Eukaryota; Viridiplantae; Streptophyta; Magnoliopsida; Solanales; Solanaceae.
UUCGACAACCUCUCGAAGAUAAGUACAGACGUCUCCGUACCGAUCUACAAGACUCUACUAAACCUGCUCAUGACUCGUGAGACCUAUGUACCAUAGGCUCUAAAUGUCCCGACGACGCCUAUUGCAAUACUAGGCAAUCCAAAAACCACAAUAAAUCACGUAUUUUAUAAGUUUGGAAGCAUAAUAAAUUUAAACUUAAGAGUGAAAUCUCAUAAAUACUGAUACAAAAUAUCGUGACUCAAUACAUUACAUUCUCAAAACUCGAGUGUCACUGAGUACAUGAGCAUCUAAAUGACAAUAUAGUAAGACUGAUAAAAAUACUGUCUAGAAAUGUAGAACAGUAGAAAUAACCAAAAGCAAAGAGAGUCAAGGUUUGCGGAUGCCAAGGCAGCUACCUCGAUAGUCUCCAACAUAUACAACUCUGGAGAUCUAGCAGUCGUCGUAUCCGGAAGUACCUGGAUCUGCACACGAAGUGCAGAGUGUAGUAGUAUGAGUACAACCGACCCAAUGUACUCAAUAAGUAACAGGACUAACCUUUGGGCUAAAAGUAGUGACGAGCUCAACAGGUACAAUCCAAAUAUAGAAAAUAACAGUACAAAAAUGUAGACAUGCUUUCAAGUUCAGCAGUCAAGCUCAAUACAUGUAAAAUAUAUCAAGUGUGGCUGAAAUAAGGGGUGAUACAUUUCUACCUCAGCAUGUCAAUUAUACAUGCCAAUUGUAAUGCCACACAAUGGAAAAAUCAUAUGUAUGCUCUCAGAGUAUCAAUGCAUUUAAUCCUCUCAGCCACUCAAUUCUCACAGUCACUCAUUCCUCACAGUCACUUAAUCCUCCCAAUCGGUCGGCACUGUGGGUGUGCAGACUCCAGAGGGGCAGAUCCAGCCCAAGUACUAUAAUAAGCCAAUCAUGGCAUAAAUCAAUAAAACAUAUUGCAGCGUGCAGCCCAAUCCCAUAAUUAUACUCAUAAUUAGGCCCUCGGCCUCACUCAGUCAUCAAUAUCUCCAGUCUAUCGGGCUCACAAUGUCAUGAAUAUCAGCCCAACAUGAUGAUAUGAUAUAUCAAUGAAUGGAAACAGAGACUGAGAUAUGAUAUGCAAAUGAUGAAUGUCACUGACAAAAGCUACAAAAUACGAAGGACCAUUCAACCAUGAGUCCAACCAUACUAAAUUUACCAAAUUCCGACAUCAACUCGACCUCCAAAUCCUUAAUUUAAAGGCUAAAAAAUUUCUAUAAUUUUCAACUCAAUUCACUAAUUUAAUGAUAAAAAUAAUAAUGGAUUCGUGUAAUUUAACCAAAAUCGAGUUAGGAAUUCUUACCCCAAUGUAUUCCUUGAAAAUCUCCCAAGAAAUUGCCUCACACCGAGAUCAAAAUCCCGAGAAAUUGCCUCCCUAAUUUCAAAACUUAUGUUCUGCUGCCCAGGAAAUUACCCUUUGUGAAUACGGAAGGUGCUUCGCGUUCGCGAAGCACAAAAUGCUACUGCCCAAAAUUUCCUCUUUGCGAACGCGAGGAUCCACUUGCGAACGCAAUGACAAAAAAUGUUCCCAAACUUCGAGAUCGUGAAGCCAUUCACACAAAUGUGUAGACCAAUCGCAUGAGUCCCAUCCCAGGCUGCUUUUCUUCUUUGCGAACGCGACUGCCCUCUAGCGUUCGCGAUGCACAACUCACCCAAAUCUUCACGAUCAUGUUGCCCUCUUCACGAUCGCGAAGAACAAAUCCUUACCUGCAUGUAGAUGCCCUUCGCCUCCCUCGCGAACGCAAAGAAGGAAACCAGACUCAGCACAUUAGCAGCCUUCUAAGUCCAAAUUCCAAUCCGUUAACCAUACAGAAUCCACCUGAGGCCCCCGGGACCUCAACCAAUUAUGCCAACACAUCCUAAAAUAUGAUAUGAACUUAGUAGAUGUCUCAAAUCACAUUAAACAAUAUCAAAAACACAAAUUGUAUCCCAAUUCAAGCCUAAUGAGAACUAAAAAAUUUCAACUUCUAGAAUCUAUGCCGAAACCUAUCAAAUCAAUUCCGAUUGACCUCAAAUUUUGUACACAAGUAAUAAAUGACACAACAGACCUAUUCUAAUUUUCGGAACCAAAAUCCGACCCUGAUAACCACAAAGUCAACCCUCGAUCAAACUUCUCAAUUUUCCAAACUUCAAAUUUUCUAACUUUCGUCAUUCCAAGCCAAAAUCAACUACGUGCUUCCAAAUAAAUAUCCGAACACACUCUUAAGUCCAAAAUCACCAUACGAAGUUAUCGAAACCAUCAAAAUUUUAUCCCGGAGUCGCUUACAUAUAAGUCAAUAUCCGGUCAACUCUUUUAACUUAAGCUUCCAACCUUGGGACUAAGUGUCACAAUUCAUUGUGAAACAUCCCCAACAAUAAUACAACUACCCCGACAAGUCACAUAACAACAGUUGAGCAUAAAAUAAGCAGUAAAUGAGAGAACGAGACUGUAAUACUCAAAACGACCGGCAGAGUCGUUACACUUAUCGUCUCAAAAUUGGGGUCACUCCAACGAAAUAAAAUAAUAUCACAAUGCACUGAUUCGUCACUAAAAGAACAUGAAUACAACAAUAAAGUACUCACAGAAAAUUAGAUCUUCCUAAUUAAUUACUUAUUAGUACUACGGCUUAAAUGGUUUAUCUAAUGGGCAAUAAUUUAACAUGUAUCUCUAUUCAUAUUUCUAGAUUUUAUUAAACAAAACAAACAGAUUAUUAAACUUAAAUCUCAUGCUCCUGAAACAAAAACAAAAAAAAGGAAGUUGAAAUAAUAGAUCCAAGCAACAAGACAUCAACUAAACUAACCAAAACAGUUGGUCAUUUUCACGAAAAAAUACAAGAGCAAAAGAAAAAAUAAUAGAAACAAAUCUUCCAAAUAACUUCAAUGGAAUCAAAUAGUUAGGAGAAUAAGAAUAAACAAAUGAACCUUUAUUGCUUGAAAUUGCAAACGAUUACAGAGAAAGGGAAACUCCACACACAGCAAUCUUCAGUCGAGCUAUAGACCCGAAAACCCGAACCGGAAUCAACAUCCUUGAAGGAUUAAAAUUGAUUGAGUUGGGCGAUAGUUGCAGAUAUUAAAUGGGUUGUUUUAUGUAAAAAACAAAAAAGGAUUGUUUUGAGGUGGAGAAGAAUGGGUAAAGUUGCUGGAAUUGUUUUAGAAGAAAAAAUUGAUGUUAUUCCUUUGUCUUUUGCUACUAGAUGUAGAUCUUAGGAGAAGAAAGAAAAAAAUCCCUCCUCUCUUUCCUUUACCCACCUUCCUUUACUUUUAUUUUUAAAUUUCCAUCUUCC